RNAcentral lists this long non-coding RNA (1606 nucleotides) under Homo sapiens (human). Its description in RNAcentral is "PREDICTED lncRNA (TCONS_00120288)". The record is from RNAcentral. Lineage: Eukaryota; Metazoa; Chordata; Mammalia; Primates; Hominidae.
CGGCUGCCUGCGCCGGACUGGAGAGCGCGGAGGGCCGACCUGACCCGCCGAAAGGGCCUGAGGCGAGGGGAGCCCGGGUCCCGGGGCCUUGGGGAAGGACCCGCAGCCGCACGCCGGCCCCAAGUGCAAAGCAUUGACACGACCCCGAGCGGAGAGGGGGCGCCCUCCUUCUCCCGCGCCCAGAGGCCCGGCCGCUCUGGCCCGAGCCCCAGCCUGGCCUCCGACCCAGCUCCGGGUCGUGGCGCCGCCUGGGGGUCCCUGCGCCCCGGAAAGAGACAGCAGGCACUGGAAAGCGAGGCCGGUGGGCGGGCGAGUCGGGAGGCUCGGGCGGCCGAGGUCCGGGAGCGGAUCCCAGGUGGCGGGAGCUGUUGCCACGCUGGCUCCCACCGGCCUCUUUCCAGAUCAUGAAGGUAUUUUUCCUUCAUCAAAUUGAGAGGAAGUCCGUAGUAAAGCUGCCCGUUGACCAGGUAGUGCCGAGAGAAUCGGUAGGUCACAUGGAUUCCUAAAGGUCCCCUGAUCAGCCACAGUUUGAUUCAUGUUCUGAUGCCCUCCCAGAUGAUGCCACCAUUAGGUCUGCUGGGGCUGGGGGUGAGUCCCAGAUUGCCCUGGAUGUUAUCUGUAGAGGAUAGGAAGCGGCUGCUCUGGGGCCAGUGGCCAGUAAGGUCCCCAACCCUGGGGCCCAGCUCUCCCUUCCAGCUGAUUACAGGCUAUGGCAGGCUCCAUAACCUCCCCAAUUAGCCGGAGGCCAGGCCCAAGGCCUUUCUGAUAACCUGAGCUCCAGUGGCAGCCGCUGUGGGGCCAGCUUAUCUGGUCUCUCUUAUCCUCACCCUUCCCCCACAUACUCAAAGAGUUGCCCUGACUUCAAGCAGAUGAAUAACCAGAUUGUCCUGCAAGCUCAGCCGGCAAGUCCAGCCCUACACCCACCACUUUCCCUGCCUGGGGGAGGCCACAGCUGUUUUGCCCCUGCUGGAGGGGAAGGGCCGGGCCAGGGAGGACUCCUGACUCUGUAAGCUGCCAGCCAGUUCCCUGAAUGGUUGAGAGAGCCCCUGGCAGCAAGGUCUCUGCCACAUCCACGUGUCCUGGGGUGGUUUCAGAGGGGCUCAUGCUUCCUAGGGCAGCUGAACCCAUCCCCAGGAAGACAGGCCAUGGGCAGCAUGCACAGGUGCCCUGGCAGGAGGGACUGGCUUAUGCCACCCUGUGCAGGAUCGUCUUCUCAGCUUACAGAGCCUAGUGUGAUUCAACAACCCUCCAUCUCUGCCCCCAACAUGCCCAACUGAUCUGGUGGAGGGAACUGAAGAUGAAGGCCUCUCAGGCACCAUGGAUGGGAUGGGUGUGUGUGAAGGGGGCAGGGUCCCCAGGAGCUGCCCCAGGUCUGGCUGGACAGUUGCACGGGAAGUCCUGUUUGUGAACUCAACGUUUCCACGGCUUUUCCAUUAAACUUUACCCCAAAUCACACCUGGCUCUGUGGGUUUCCUUCCAUUCUCCAAGGCCUCCCUGGGGUCUCUGGGAAGUGUGGGCCAGGGAAGGGGGCAAAGGACUAGCAUUCGUCUCCUUCCUGCUCAAUGCACCAUUUUUUCUCCCUGUUCCUGUCUCUGUUGCCACUUAC